CCAGACUCCUACGGGAGGCAGCAGUGGGGAAUAUUGCACAAUGGGGGAAACCCUGAUGCAGCGACGCCGCGUGAGCGAUGAAGUAUUUCGGUAUGUAAAGCUCUAUCAGCAGGGAAGAAAAUGACGGUACCUGACUAAGAAGCCCCGGCUAACUACGUGCCAGCAGCCGCGGUAAUACGUAGGGGGCAAGCGUUAUCCGGAUUUACUGGGUGUAAAGGGAGCGUAGACGGCCAUUCAAGCCAGAUGUGAAAGCCCGGGGCUCAACUCCGGGACUGCAUUUGGAACUGUGGGGCUAGAGUGUCGGAGAGGCAGGCGGAAUUCCUAGUGUAGCGGUGAAAUGCGUAGAUAUUAGGAGGAACACCAGUGGCGAAGGCGGCCUGCUGGACGAUGACUGACGUUGAGGCUCGAAAGCGUGGGGAGCAAACAGGAUUAGAUACCCUCGUAA
RNAcentral lists this ribosomal RNA (445 nucleotides) under uncultured bacterium. RNAcentral's name for it is "bacterial SSU rRNA". It matches the Rfam family "Bacterial small subunit ribosomal RNA", at positions 331 to 793 of the family's 1533-position model. The record is from RNAcentral.